RNAcentral lists this non-coding RNA (100 nucleotides) under Paenibacillus sp. RNAcentral describes it as "Guanine sequence". It matches the Rfam family "Purine riboswitch aptamer". From Rfam's summary of the family: Riboswitches are metabolite binding domains within certain messenger RNAs that serve as precision sensors for their corresponding targets. Allosteric rearrangement of mRNA structure is mediated by ligand binding, and this results in modulation of gene expression. Lineage: Bacteria; Bacillati; Bacillota; Bacilli; Caryophanales; Paenibacillaceae. The record is from RNAcentral.
GCUAAUCGCAUAAAGCUGUUUCGUAUAAUCCCGGGAAUCGGCCCGGGAGUUUCUACGAGGUCACCGGAAUGGCCUGGCUACGAAGCGGACGAAGCGUGGG